CCUCUGCAAAAUGAAAGCUUGAAAGUCAUUGAUAAAGAUGAACUUUAUCCUUUUUUCUACUGCUAAAAUUCUCAGAUUUAUUAUUUCACUUUAAAGAGGUAGAUUAUAGAGAAAUAUUAGAUGCUUUCUUCUUUCAUGGUAGCAUCAAGACAGGAGGGCCAAGCGUUACUCAUGUGAGAGGUUGUUCUGUUCCAACUGCUUCCUCCUCACUAUUCCUGCUGCGGCCUCACCUAUAAGUGAGCCCUUGGGAAGGAAGCAGAUUUGCCCAGUGUCUUAGUCUCCUAUUGCUGCUGUAACAAGUUACUACAAAUUAAAUGGCUCGAAACAACAUAAAUGUAUUAUUUUACAGUUUUUCAGGCUAGAACUCUGACAUGGGCUAGAAUAAAGGAGUUGGCAGGGCUGCACUUCUUUCUGGAGGCUCUAGGGAAGAAUCCAUUUCCUUGCCUUUCACAUUUUCUGGAGGCCACAUUUAUUCCUUGGUUUAUGACCCCUUCUUCCAUCUGGCGAGUGAGUACUUUUCACAUCUCCCUGAUUCUCUUCCAUAGUCACAUCUCACUCUGAUUCUCUUCUGCCUCCCUCUUCCACGUCUAAGGAUCCUUGUGAUUACAUUGAGCCUGUUAAAUUCAGUAUAAUCUUCCUAUUUUAGGAUCACUUGAUUAUCAACCUUAAUUCUAUCUGCAAUCCUAAUUUCCCUAUGCCAUGUAAUUAACAUAUACAGAGGUUCUGGGGAUUAGGAUGCAGUCCUCUUUGGGGGCCAUUAUUCUGUCUUCCACACCUAGAAAUAGGAGUUGUAGUGUGACAGGGCUCGUGAGAAUCAGAAAAAAAGAAGUGACACAAAACAAGCUGCAAAGCUGUAAGCUAGCCUAUUUUGAGUUGUGACCUUAUCCCCAUGUUAUUGCUAGAUAAUGUUUAUCAAACAAGGGACUCAGGGAGUAGCACAUGAAUAUUUCAUGUGGGAUUGGUGUCACAGGCUGAGUUUCCCAGAAGCCAACACAGAAAUGGAAACUUCCAUGAAGAACAUUUAUUAGGAGUGGUCUUCGGAUUAACACCUUCGAAACAGAAGGAAAAUGAUAAACAAUUUGUGCAGAGAGAGAAGUUGGACUGCAAAGCAGUCUCAGCAAAGUCUCUGCAGAACUCUGAGGCUCCCUACCUAUAGGGAGACAGUCUGCCUGCCGGUCACCUCCUACUCAUCACUGGAAUCACAGACAGAACAAGUGGUGGCAACACUGGCCUGAAGAUUCCUGACAACGUAGGUCUGGCCGGGAUUGGAAGCGUCACCCAGCCUCAGGACGGGGACCCGCCGCCAAGCGCCGCCUCCGCGGGAUGGUCCUCGGCAGCCGCCGUAGCGCAGAGACGAAUCCGCGCGCCCCCAGGCUGCCGGGAGCUACCAGGAGGCUUCCACCUGAGCGGCGCGUCCUCAGGGCUUGGGCCUGGCCUCCUCGCCUGUGAGGUGGCGCUGUGGCAGUGCCCACCUCGUGGGCUGUGUGAGGGCCGAGUGAAAUCGUGCAUAUGCGGUAAGAAAGUGCUUUUCACGGUGCCCUGUCCUAAUAUGGGCUGCCAGCCUAAGUACAGAGGCACAGUCCCAGCCCAAAGGCCAGUUUCCAGGUGAGCCCCUGUCGGGGAGACCACCAGACGGAACAGUGCCAGUCUACACUCCUGCACCGAGCAGGGGACAGUGUGGACGGCAGAGAGGUCUGAAGUCCCUUUAGAAUAAGGAUAAUGCUUCAGGGUUGUUAAAAGUAUUAAAUGAGAUGAUAUCUAAAGGGAUUAGCACAGUGGCUGAUGCUAAAAUAAAUCAUUUUCCCUACUGCCACUGCCCUUAAAACCAGACGCCUGCAACAGCCGGCCGGUACGUCUCCUCAUUUGUAAACUGGAGUUAGCAGGUGUGUUGUGAAGAUUGAGAAAAUUACGCAUAGGCAGAACCUGGCGUUUAAUAUUUGGGAAAUGGCAGCAAUUCUUUCUUCACUAGAUAAUCUACAGGCUGCACUGUGGUAGGCACAUAUGCUUAGCACCGAUUCUUAUAAGUGCAGGUAAAGAGAGAGAGAAGACUUGUGUAAGUCGAAGGAGCCAGCCGUGUCCAGGCCGCAGCAAAACCUCAGCAGUACUGUACCAGGGCCCUCUUCAGUGAAUGAAUCUCCUCUUUGGCCUGUUUGCUGUCUGUUUGCAUUUGCUGCACCCAUCAGUUCCCAGACCUGGCCUUUAAAGCCAGGAGCUCUAGGAUGCUUGUCCCAAUCCUAGAAAACAAGUACAGCACACACCAACAGCAGCACCCCUAAAAGCCAGCCCUACUGGCAGUGCAGGCCCUGCAACCCGUAGGUAAGUGGGACACUCUAAGCUUCUUGGAGACAGCUAACUCAGGGCCUGAUUAGCUUACUCUCACCUCCUCUCUUCAGGAAAUCAGACUGUGUAAAGUAAGAGAGAAAAGAAAAUUAGCAUAAGUCUAUUCCAUUGUUUAAUGACAUGUGUUUCACUUGUGUUAAAAGUGAAUUGUGGGCUGGCGUGGUGGCUCAUUUGCCUGUAAUCCCAACACUUUAGGAGGCCACGGCAGGCAGAUUGCUUGAGCCCAGAAGUUUGAAACCAGCCUGGCAACAUGGAAAAACCCCAUCUCUACAAAAAAUACAAAAAUUAGCAGGAUAUGGUAGCUCAUGCCUGUAGUCCCAGUUACUCUGGAGGCUGAGGUGGGAGGAUGGCUUGAACCUGUCAGGUCGAGGCUGCCGUGAGCUGUAAUCACGCCAGUGCACUCCAGCCUGGGUGACAGAAUCAGUUCUUGUCUAAAAAAAAAAAAAAAAAAAAAAAUUGAAUUGUAGUACCAGCUACAUUUAUAGAGCCCUUUGUCUUUACAGUCAUGGUGCUAAAGUCUCUGAUCUCAUUUAAUCCUUACAACCACUCUCACAAUGCUCUGUCCAUUUUACAUAUUGGAAAACUAAGACUCAGGUUAAGAGAGACUUGUUGAAGGUCACAGUUAGUAAGCUGCAGAGAACCAGAAAGUGAAUCUGGGUUGACCUUGACUCUAAACAGUUUGCUUUUAACAACUAUACUCCUUUGAACAUAUUUACCCUAUUUUCUUCAUUAAGUAAAAUGCUUUCUGUGUCUUAAUUUUCAGAACCUCUAAUAAAACAUUUUGCAGAACAUAUUUUCUAAGUAUCCCUGAUCCCCACAAACCAGGCUUUCUUCCCUAAUCUUUUAGUCAUUGCAAACAUGUAAUAGAUGCAUGCUGAGUUUGUGAGCUUGGCACCACACAUGACAGGCUUUGGUUAGGGAAUUCAGCUACAAGCAACCAAACCCUCAUAGCCAAAGCCAGGGGUGCUAGGACCCCUGGCCCUGCAGUGGCCCUGAUACGGCCUUUCCAUCCUCACAGUUACUGGGACAAAACGUCCUAUGCUUUCACCCUUAUGUGGCUCCAGAGGUAGGAUUUAAUUUUUUAAAAAUCUGCAAUACUGCAGCAGAAAUGUAGUUAUGAGUCAGGGAUGUGUACGUGUGUGUGUCUGUGUGUGAAAGCCAGUCUCUCAGCACCAGCUAAAAAUGUGAAGCAGCAAGUCUGUGCUGGGAAUUGAGGACACCAUAUGCUUGUAUUUCUAGGUCUUCCUAAGAAUUAUAUAACUGCCCCCAAAGCCAGGGGGCAGGAGCAGGGCCAGCCGUGGGAGACGUUUCCAAAGAGGAAUGCUGAGGAAGGACUGACCUUGAGGAGACAGGGAGUUUGCCAGGCUGUGGAAUGUUCCCAGCCUUGGGGCUUAAACAAAAACUGUAUUCAGAGGGUGAGUGCUCUGUUGAGAACAAACCCUAUCUGUCUCCUGCUUUGUCUCAGGGCUUCUCAAGGUGAGCCCUUUCUCUGCAGGUUCUGGAUAUUGAAUUUAGAGGUGGGCACAGCUGCCAGAGCAAGGCCCUGGUAAUCCUCCCAGCCAUCUCUAAUUAGCCGACUUCAGGGAUCCCCCCACCCGCCGCCCUUCUCCGGAGUUCUGAGGGUUAGGCAGAGGGGAGAUAAAAGCUCUCAUCUAUUCAUAGAAUAAGGCUGCAGAAAGGCACCCUGGGAGGAGAGCUGUGGGAGGGAAUACAACCAAUCAACAAAGGUUUAUCAAGGGCUCACCCUGUGGUCACCCUUGGGGGAGGGAGGUAUCUGAUUGGCCCCAUCCUGCUGAGGGCUUCUUUACAGUAUUCUUUCCUAGAAAACAUCCUCCCCACCAUCCUCGCUCCCCGCUCCAGAUCUUACUUGACUAAAGCCCAUUAUUCUUAUAGGCCUCACUUCAGAGGCCUAAAACCCAGAGCAAUGUUUUUCAAGCUGUGGGUCAUGACCCAUUAGUAGCUUGUGUAAUUAAUUUAGUAGGUUACAUCGAGCAUUACUGUCCCCCAUACCCUCCAAAAAAACAAAAACCAAAAGAACAAAGGAAAUAGAAAAGAGGCUAUCUGAGCACACUGGACACCAUGAAGUUAAGUGUUGUUUCAGUUAUGUGUAUACUGGAUCAUGAUAUAAAAAGCCAAAUUCUUACUGGUGAUUGUGAUUUAAAAAAAAAAAAAAAAGAUUCAGAAACUCCUGGCUUAGAGGCUGCGUCUGUCCGUAUCCUUCUCACUGCAAGUGUCAGAAACCCUGGCUCAAUCUAACUUAGACGAGGAGGACAUUUAUUAUCUCACUUAAAGGGAAGACUAGAGGCGUUGCAGGCCCCAGGGUGGUUAAUACAGUGGCUCAACCCUGCCACCAACAGUACCAUGCCUUCACAGUGGGUUUUAUCCUCAAACUGGUAGUAAGAUGGUUACAGAAGCUCCAUGUCAUAUCCAGAGAACACUCAGUGGGAGGAGAGACAAGAGACUAGAUCUUCUCAUGUCUCUGAGGAGUGAAGAAAUUUUUCUUGGAAGCCCUCUGGCUGAAUUCACUUUCUCAGUAGAGAAUUGGUCACAACUGUAUUCCUAAAUCCAUCACUGGCAAGAGGGUAUAGGAGUCUCAUGAGUAGAUGAGACUGAGCAGGAGAUCCCCCUGGAGCUGAAGGUGGGAGAGAAAGGUGGAUACAAAAGUGAUCAAAAAGUAGGACCAAAUGAUAGAAUGGGAGAAGAUGCUUGCAAUAUCUAAAACUGACUAAUAUCUAGAAUACACAAGAAAUUCCUACAAAUCAGGAAAAAGACAGCAACCCCAUAGAAAAAUUAGUAAAAGAUAUGAACAUGCAAUUUAUAGAAGAAUUAACCCUAAAAUCUUACAAAAUAUGAUAAAAUGCUCAAAAUCAUUGUUAAUCAUCAACAAUAUGAAUUUAAAUGAGACUUUACAUACAUUAGACUGAAAACAAUUAUUAAUAGAAACCUGUGAGGUCUGAGAAAGUGAAAAAAAAAAAAAA
Non-coding RNA from Macaca mulatta (Rhesus monkey), 5318 nucleotides. The record is from RefSeq and is a predicted model, not a curated record. Lineage: Eukaryota; Metazoa; Chordata; Mammalia; Primates; Cercopithecidae.